This 253-nucleotide ribosomal RNA is filed under the name uncultured bacterium. RNAcentral's name for it is "partial 16S ribosomal RNA". It matches the Rfam family "Bacterial small subunit ribosomal RNA", at positions 524 to 776 of the family's 1533-position model. The record is from RNAcentral.
UACAGAGGUGGCAAGCGUUGUUCGGAAUUACUGGGCGUAAAGGGCGCGUAGGCGGCCAUCUAAGUCAGACGUGAAAUCCCCCGGCUUAACCUGGGAACUGCCUUUGAUACUGAAGAUCUUGAGUUCGGGAGAGGUGAGUGGAACUGCGAGUGUAGAGGUGAAAUUCGUAGAUAUUCGCAAGAACACCAGUGGCGAAGGCGGCUCACUGGCCCGAUACUGACGCUGAGGCACGAAAGCGUGGGGAGCAAACAGG